AUACUUACCUGGUAGGGAAGACAUUAUGAUCUUGAAGAUAGAGGCAAAAAAAAAAAAAGUUUUUCCAGGGUGAGGUUCAUCCCUCACACUCUGGCUGUGCUGAUUCCUGCGAUUUCCCUACAUGCAGGAAACUUGACUGUGGAAUUUGUGGUAGUGGGGGACUGCAUCUGUAAUCUUCCG
This 180-nucleotide small nuclear RNA is filed under the name Alligator mississippiensis (American alligator). Its description in RNAcentral is "U1 spliceosomal RNA". It matches the Rfam family "U1 spliceosomal RNA". Rfam says of the family: U1 is a small nuclear RNA (snRNA) component of the spliceosome (involved in pre-mRNA splicing). Its 5' end forms complementary base pairs with the 5' splice junction, thus defining the 5' donor site of an intron. Lineage: Eukaryota; Metazoa; Chordata; Crocodylia; Alligatoridae. The record is from Rfam by way of RNAcentral.